Molecule: long non-coding RNA, 317 nt
Organism: Amblyraja radiata (thorny skate)
Lineage: Eukaryota; Metazoa; Chordata; Chondrichthyes; Rajiformes; Rajidae
Exons: 4
Source: RefSeq, a predicted model, not a curated record
GAUACUGCUCGACGAAAUCUAUCACCCAAGAUUGUCUACACUCUUCUGGGUAUCUGCAUCCUGGUGUCCGUUCUGUCGCUUGUUCUUGCGUUGAUACUGAUGGCACAGAUGGGUGAAAUGAAGAGGUCAGAUGCUGACUUUCGGAUGGAAAGUUCCCAAUGGAAGAGCAAUGUUACAGGAAACGUUGAGAAAGCAACCAGCUCACUUUCCGACGUUCAGGCUGAGAUUGCACUUCUGAGAGAGCUUACAGGGAACCUUGAGAAGGCAAUGCCCAACUCUCCAAACUCCAGCCUGAGAUUCCACGGCAGAGGGAGAGU